UUAGAUAUUGCUAAACUGAAAAAACAAGUUUUUGAGGCAUCUCAGGCUCAUCUCACCCUAUUGCCUGGAGCUGAUAUUCUUGCUGGAGCCUCUGAUGGCCUUUCUAAUACCAAUCCUUUAAAGUGGAUUGAAACCAUAGGUGGAUCAACAAUUGCAAAUUUUAUUUUGGUUUGUGUCUGUUUAUGUUGCUUGUUUUUAGUCUACAGAUGCAGAUGGUGCCUUGGGAGAGAAACCAGACACCAUGAAUGAGCCAUAAUAGCAAUGGCAGUUAUUAAUAAAAAAAAAUCAAUAGAGGCAAAAAAGGGGAACAUGUGGGAAAGUGUUUCUGGGGUGCCAGUUGAGUUGGUCUCCCCUGUGUGAGACACCCAUGGGAAGCCAUGGGCAGCCUCUGGGGAGAAAAGUCUCCUUAUUGCUUUCAUGUCUUUAUGCCCCAAGAGCAUAACCACUCAGCAGCAUUCCACAGGUUGCUCAGGGAGACAACACUCCCUUGAAGCAGUGGAGUAUAAUCAAACAUCUUGGCUCCUCCUUAAACCCGCUCCCACCCAUUUCAGUCCUGAUAAGCUAAAGAUCUUAAGUAGUUUAGACACACGCCUUUGCUCAAGGAAAUUCACAGAAACCGCCACUGCUACACAUCUUAUGGAAUGACUCACGAGUUCUCCUUCACUGAUUAAUCCUUUUCCUCAUCCCUUCCUCCCCCUCCCAUCUGCCCUAAGAACAAAGAGCUUGUAAACCAGUAAAUUUGGCAGAGCUCAAGAGCUCUGGGCCGUGAGCAAGCCUCCGAUAUUCUGGUCCCCUGAACCCGCCUUUUAAAUGCUUAUUCUGUCUCUUUCUAACUCCUAUGUCUCCACCAGACUCAGGGUACCCACUGGGUGGUGUGGGGCUGGUUUCCCUAACAUUCCCCACCAAAUAAAGCAGCUCCAACCUUCUAGAUGGUUGCUCAGCUCAGAAGUCUUAGAGAAAUUCUGAUGCCUCUCCUCACAUUUGCUCUGUCGGCAAAUCCUGGUGUCACAAGAGGGCUCAGGAGGGUUUCUGGAUGCCAACGAGACCCCAGCCACAGCCGGUCCCCAGAUUCUUGACAUCAUCACAAGAAAGAAUUCACAGGGUUGCUUCAGCGUCCUCACAACAGGAUGGCUGACUUCCCCAAGAGAGCAGCUCAAGAGAGAGCAAGGAGAAAGACACAACAUCUUUAAUGAUCUAUGCUUGGAAGCUAUAUGUUGCCACUUUUGCAAUAUCCUACAGAUCGCUUAGCUCCAUCCAACAUGGAAAGGGAUCAGACACGGGCAUCAUUGCCAGAUGAUAAUCCCUGAUGGUCAUCUUGGAUGCUGGCCACCACAGUUACAUUUGAGAUGGUGCACAAGAAGGCUCUCGCCAGAUGCUGGUCUUGUGAUCUUGGACUUCCCAGCCUCCAGAACUAGAAGCUGGCAUCGCUUGGGGGAAGAUGUACACUGCAAACUGUCUACAGAGCUAGUUACAAUAUUUCAUCUACGUCAUGAGCUUUGGGGAUGAGCUAGAGAUGAAACUCCCCAAGGCCAGAGAAGAUGGCAGAGCCAUGAGAUGGAAGGCGCCUGGGCCGCUGAAUCACCACAUGGAAGGUCACUCAUGACAGGAUCCUCGAAGGACCAUGGUGCAAGAAAGAACAACUAAUGCAGCACCUCAACAAAGCAGGGGCUAAACACUUGAGACAUAUAACCCAGUAACUGAGAGCUCAGAUUCUAGUCCAGAUGACCAGGGUUUGAAUCCUGGCUCCAGGAUCCUAGGUAAGCUACUUCCCACCCUAUUGUUGCCUCACUUCCCUCUUCCAUAAAAGGGCAAUAAUGACUCCUAUUGAUGAUAGUGAAGGGCCAUCCGGAGCAGCCACUGCCAUUGCUCUGGCUGUGGUGGUGGGGGGCAGUUGCGGGGAACGGGCAGUGGUGGUGGGACCCCUGUGCCCCACGUGCCCAAGGCAGCCAACUGUGCUGUCCCCACCCUUGUAUGACUGGAUGGGACCCACUCCCAGGCCCAGAGCCUCUGUGACUCCCGACCCUGGCACGCAUCACCUCUCUCUGCCCCGCCGUAGCUGUGGGGAGGGCGCAGGAAGGAGGUGGAUGGUCCUCAGAGCCUGCCCCCAGGAACCUCCACUAGAGCCUGCUGCCCUAGGGGCCACUGCAAUGGGACUGGGCUGAGCCAUCCACCAGUGGGAGAGCAAUGCAGUCAGGCAUGGAGGAGUGGGCAGAGAGCGACCCAGUGAGGACCUGGGCCCCCGCCCCAGGCUGCCAGGAGGUACGGCCAGGGCUGCACGCUCCAGCAUGCUCCACAGAGUGGGUGGGAGCAGUCACAAGCGGGAGCCCUGCCUCUUCCAAAAUGGCAGGGAGGGAGCUUCCUGGGUGCAGCUGCAGCCACCUAGCUACAGCUGCAGACCCAGGCAUCUAUGCACUCUUGGGGGCGCAGGAAGGCACCCUUCCCUCCCCAGCCCCAAUCCCCCACCCCACCUUUGCUGCCUGGCUCCUCCCUGCUUUCAGCACCCACUCCUAACUCGGAGCAAAGUCAGAACUGAGCCUAGGGGGCCGGGCGCGGUGGCUCACGCCUGUAAUCCC
This 2573-nucleotide long non-coding RNA is filed under the name Homo sapiens (human). Its description in RNAcentral is "HSALNT0384839". The record is from RNAcentral. Lineage: Eukaryota; Metazoa; Chordata; Mammalia; Primates; Hominidae.